This 853-nucleotide ribosomal RNA is filed under the name Streptomyces sp. RNAcentral's name for it is "bacterial SSU rRNA". It matches the Rfam family "Bacterial small subunit ribosomal RNA", at positions 392 to 1250 of the family's 1533-position model. Lineage: Bacteria; Bacillati; Actinomycetota; Actinomycetes; Kitasatosporales; Streptomycetaceae. The record is from RNAcentral.
CGACGCCGCGUGAGGGAUGACGGCCUUCGGGUUGUAAACCUCUUUCAGCAGGGAAGAAGCGAAAGUGACGGUACCUGCAGAAGAAGCGCCGGCUAACUACGUGCCAGCAGCCGCGGUAAUACGUAGGGCGCGAGCGUUGUCCGGAAUUAUUGGGCGUAAAGAGCUCGUAGGCGGCUUGUCGCGUCGGUUGUGAAAGCCCGGGGCUUAACCCCGGGUCUGCAGUCGAUACGGGCAGGCUAGAGUUCGGUAGGGGAGAUCGGAAUUCCUGGUGUAGCGGUGAAAUGCGCAGAUAUCAGGAGGAACACCGGUGGCGAAGGCGGAUCUCUGGGCCGAUACUGACGCUGAGGAGCGAAAGCGUGGGGAGCGAACAGGAUUAGAUACCCUGGUAGUCCACGCCGUAAACGGUGGGCACUAGGUGUGGGCGACAUUCCACGUCUUCCGUGCCGCAGCUAACGCAUUAAGUGCCCCGCCUGGGGAGUACGGCCGCAAGGCUAAAACUCAAAGGAAUUGACGGGGGCCCGCACAAGCGGCGGAGCAUGUCGCUUAGUUUGACGCAACGCGAAGAACCUUACCAAGGCUUGACAUACCCCGGAAACGUCUGGAGACAGGCGCCCCCUUGUCGUCGGUGUACAGGUGGCGCAUGGCGGUCGUCAGUUGGUGUCGUGAGAUGUUGGGUUAAGUCCCGCAACGAGCGCAACCCUCGUCCCUCGUUGCCAGCAAGCCGUUCGUGGUGUUGGGGACUCACGGGAGACCGCCGGGGUCAACUCGGAGGAAGGUGGGGACGACGUCAAGUCAUCAUGCCCCUUAUGUCUUGGGCUGCACACGUGCUACAAUGGCCGGUACAAUGAGUUGC